This 460-nucleotide ribosomal RNA is filed under the name Phylloporus aff. bellus 144-769. Its description in RNAcentral is "eukaryotic LSU rRNA". The stretch from base 1 to 106 matches the Rfam family "5.8S ribosomal RNA", at positions 50 to 154 of the family's 154-position model. The record is from RNAcentral. Lineage: Eukaryota; Fungi; Basidiomycota; Agaricomycetes; Boletales; Boletaceae.
GAAUUGCGAUAAGUAAUGUGAAUUGCAGAUUUCCAGUGAAUCAUCGAAUUUUUGAACGCACCUUGCGCUCCUUGGUAUUCCGAGGAGCAUGCCUGUUUGAGUGUCAUUUGAAUCAAUCAACCAUGCUUGGGCAUGGCUUGGAGUUGGGGGUUGCUGGCGUUCACCGUCAGCUCUCCUUAAAUGCAUUAGCGAUCGAGUCGGGCUAGUCUUUUGACGUGCACGGCCUUGGACGUGAUAAUGAUCGUCCUGGCUGGAGCGUUAGGUUGGCAUGACAUAGAUCGCUUCGAUGGGGGGGAGAAGGCAAAAGCAAAGUGAUCGGUCUGUGGAGCUUAGCUACUAGGCAGUCUUGAGGAGAGGCUGGUGAAAACGAGCGAGACGGAUCGAGAUCAGGGCUUAAGCUUUCUUUCUUUCUUCUUGGACUCUUGACCUCAAAUCAGGUAGGACUACCCGCUGAACUUAA